Molecule: ribosomal RNA, 253 nt
Filed under: uncultured bacterium
Lineage: Bacteria
Description: partial 16S ribosomal RNA
Rfam family: Bacterial small subunit ribosomal RNA
Source: RNAcentral
GACGAACCGUCCAAACGUUAUUCGGAAUUACUGGGCUUAAAGGGUGCGUAGGCGGCGCGGAAAGUUGGGUGUGAAAUCCCUCGGCUCAACCGAGGAACUGCGCCCAAAACUACCGUGCUUGAGGAAGAUAGAGGUGAGCGGAACUUAGGGUGGAGCGGUGAAAUGCGUUGAUAUCCUAAGGAACACCGGUGGCGAAAGCGGCUCACUGGAUCUUUUCUGACGCUGAGGCACGAAAGCUAGGGUAGCGAACGGG